GAACCCAGCCUUUCCAAAGCCAAGGCACACUAGAAUCGAGGCUAUUUUGGUAGCACCCUGAGGGUGUUGUACGAGGGCCCUGGGGUGUAGAAGGACCCACUGAGGAUCUAGCAACCCUGGACAGAAUGGCCUAAGUUUAGAUAGGACCAGUGCUCUGUCGUGAAUGGAGUGAGGACCCAAACCUUCAGGGUUAAUGAGAGAGCUCAAAACACGGUAUGCAGAACCACUGGGGUACUGGGCCUGGGUUCUUUAAGAAGUCAGGCUGAGAAAGUCAAGGGGAGUGGCCAAUAAAGACCAUCCCUUCAUG
RNAcentral lists this long non-coding RNA (307 nucleotides) under Mus pahari (shrew mouse). RNAcentral's name for it is "lncRNA (MGP_PahariEiJ_G0005347.1)". The record is from RNAcentral. Lineage: Eukaryota; Metazoa; Chordata; Mammalia; Rodentia; Muridae.